Molecule: ribosomal RNA, 523 nt
Filed under: Escherichia coli
Lineage: Bacteria; Pseudomonadati; Pseudomonadota; Gammaproteobacteria; Enterobacterales; Enterobacteriaceae
Description: partial 23S ribosomal RNA
Rfam family: Bacterial large subunit ribosomal RNA
Source: RNAcentral
UUAAUGAGGCGAACCGGGGGAACUGAAACAUCUAAGUACCCCGAGGAAAAGAAAUCAACCGAGAUUCCCCCAGUAGCGGCGAGCGAACGGGGAGGAGCCCAGAGCCUGAAUCAGUGUGUGUGUUAGUGGAAGCGUCUGGAAAGGCGUGCGAUACAGGGUGACAGCCCCGUACACAAAAAUGCACAUAUUGUGAGCUCGAUGAGUAGGGCGGGACACGUGGUAUCCUGUCUGAAUAUGGGGGGACCAUCCUCCAAGGCUAAAUACUCCUGACUGACCGAUAGUGAACCAGUACCGUGAGGGAAAGGCGAAAAGAACCCCGGCGAGGGGAGUGAAAAAGAACCUGAAACCGUGUACGUACAAGCAGUGGGAGCCUCUUAAUGGGGUGACUGCGUACCUUUUGUAUAAUGGGUCAGCGACUUAUAUUCUGUAGCAAGGUUAACCGAAUAGGGGAGCCGAAGGGAAACCGAGUCUUAACUGGGCGUUAAGUUGCAGGGUAUAGACCCGAAACCCGGUGAUCUAGCCA